UCUAGAGGCUUCGUCAAUGGGGGAAACCCUGAACGAGCGACGCCGCGUGUGGGAUUGAAGGCCUUCGGGUCGUAAACCACUGUCAAGCGGGAAGAAUGCCCGGAUGGCGAAUCCGGGAGCGACGGUACCGCUGGAGGAAGCCCCGGCUAACUCCGUGCCAGCAGCCGCGGUAAUCCGGAGGGGGCAAGCGUUGUUCGGAUUUACUGGGCGUAAAGGGUGUGUAGGCGGUUGCGCAAGUCUGGUGUGAAAUCUUCACCGCUCAACGGGAAGCGGUCAUUGGAAACUGCGUAACUCGA
RNAcentral lists this ribosomal RNA (296 nucleotides) under uncultured prokaryote. RNAcentral's name for it is "partial 16S ribosomal RNA". It matches the Rfam family "Bacterial small subunit ribosomal RNA", at positions 355 to 645 of the family's 1533-position model. The record is from RNAcentral.